Molecule: ribosomal RNA, 252 nt
Filed under: uncultured bacterium
Lineage: Bacteria
Description: partial 16S ribosomal RNA
Rfam family: Bacterial small subunit ribosomal RNA
Source: RNAcentral
UACGGAGGGUGCGAGCGUUGUCCGGAAUCACUGGGCGUAAAGGGCGCGUAGGCGGCCUGAUAAGUAGGGGGUGAAAUCCUGCGGCUUAACCGCAGGGCUGCCUUCUAAACUGUCGGGCUUGAGCACAGUAGAGGCAGGUGGAAUUCCCGGUGUAGCGGUGAAAUGCGUAGAUAUCGGAAGGAACAUCAGUGGCGAAAGCGACUUCCUGGACCAAUACUGACGCUCAUGUGCGAAAGCGUGGGAGCAAACAGG